RNAcentral lists this ribosomal RNA (440 nucleotides) under uncultured bacterium. RNAcentral's name for it is "partial 16S ribosomal RNA". It matches the Rfam family "Bacterial small subunit ribosomal RNA", at positions 338 to 795 of the family's 1533-position model. The record is from RNAcentral.
CCUACGGGAGGCUGCAGUGGGGAAUAUUGCACAAUGGGGGAAACCCUGAUGCAGCGACGCCGCGUGAGUGAAGAAGUAAUUCGUUAUGUAAAGCUCUAUCAGCAGGGAAGAAAAUGACGGUACCUGAGUAAGAAGCCCCGGCUAACUACGUGCCAGCAGCCGCGGAAAUACGUAUGGGGCAAGCGUUAUCCGGAUUUACUGGGGGUAAAGGGAGCGUAGACGGGAGUGCAAGUCUGGAGGGAAAGGCGGGGGCUCAACCCCCGGAGUGCUCUGGAAACUGUACGGCUGGAGUGCAGGAGAGGUAUGUGGAAUGCCUAGUGUAGCGGUGAAAUGCGUAGAUAUUAGGAGGAACACCAGUGGCGAAGGCAGCUUACUGGACUGUAACUGACGUUGAGGCUCGAAAGCGUGGGGAGCGAACAGGAUUAGAUACCCCUGUAGUC